GGGUUGUGAAAAAAUGACUGAGAACCUGAAAAAGACAUAGACGCAGUAAACCCAUCAGAAUUUGUACGAAAUGUGCUAAAAGACUGUACACUUCUCCCGUUGCUAGGGGAACCAGGAGCCUGUGGUGCAUCUUUAGCAGCCCCAAUGGGUAACAAAACAUUGGGUAAGCUAAGAGAAAGAUCAAGCGGCUCCAACACCAGCUUUUCAUCUUUUGGCUUACUAAC
This 224-nucleotide unclassified non-coding RNA is filed under the name Hevea brasiliensis (rubber tree). The record is from RNAcentral. Lineage: Eukaryota; Viridiplantae; Streptophyta; Magnoliopsida; Malpighiales; Euphorbiaceae.